This 207-nucleotide ribosomal RNA is filed under the name uncultured bacterium. Its description in RNAcentral is "partial 16S ribosomal RNA". It matches the Rfam family "Bacterial small subunit ribosomal RNA", at positions 568 to 774 of the family's 1533-position model. The record is from RNAcentral.
CGUGUAGGCGGCCAGAUAAGUGAGAUGUGAAAGGCCUCGGCUCACCCGAGGACGUGCAUCUCAUACUGUUUGGCUUGAGUACGGGAGAGGAUGGGGGAAUUCCUGGUGUAGCGGUGAAAUGCGUAGAUAUCAGGAGGAACACCAGUGGCGAAGGCGCCCAUCUGGCCCGAUACUGACGCUGAGGCGCGAAAGCUAGGGGAGCGAACG